RNAcentral lists this long non-coding RNA (752 nucleotides) under Durio zibethinus. Its description in RNAcentral is "long non-coding RNA (DZIB_LNC002006)". The record is from RNAcentral. Lineage: Eukaryota; Viridiplantae; Streptophyta; Magnoliopsida; Malvales; Malvaceae.
UGUCGCUCCUUCUCCAGGUUAUUGGUUCGGUGUUUCUUCACCAUAAUUGGCAUUGAGUUGCCCUCUUGGGGAUGUGGUUUUUUUGUGAUUUUUGUUUUGUUGGAUUUUUUCUUUUGGUUUAUUUUUGGUAGGCUGUGGUUUGUUUGGUGAUAAUGAUGGUGUGUGUUGGAUUGAUUGUGUUGAGGGUGUUUCAACUAGGUUAGAGGGUUUUUUUUUUGUUCAUUCAAUGGUCGGGGCCUUGGUGGCAUGCGUUGAUUGGGAAUGGGGGUUUUUAGCUGCUUUUUAGGUAGCAGGGGGCUAUGUGCUUGGUUUUGAUGGUGAAGCUAGGGUUUGCUAGGCGUGGAGGUGGUUGGUUAGGUGCAAGCAAGGGACUCGGGUCCAGGGUGAUAGAAGAGAGGAAGGCCCGUGUGUUGGUAGAGGGAGAAGGCUUUUGGUGUCAAGUUGGGGCUGUUACUAGAGCUAAGCUCCUCUAUUAGGACUGUGAAAAGUGUUGAAAAAGGUUUGAAGAAAAGGGGUGGGAUGGUUCAAUGGAGUUUCUUGUGUGUUCCUCUUCUGAUAGGUGCUGGCCUCUUCCCUUGAUUUUUAAUCUAACCAUUUGUAAUCAGUCCAAAACUUUAAGAAUCAUAAUGUGGUGGAGCAUGGCACUGGGUAGUACACGGUAGUGGAACAUGGUGUUGGGGCUGGCUUGUUUUGUGUAGUGACCAAACAGAAUUGGUAGUGGUUGUCAGCCACUCAUUGUAUUUUUUGUUGUU